Non-coding RNA from Triticum urartu, 2107 nucleotides. Lineage: Eukaryota; Viridiplantae; Streptophyta; Magnoliopsida; Poales; Poaceae. The record is from RefSeq and is a predicted model, not a curated record.
GAUUCAGGCCCACAUACCCGUACGCAUUUGCCUCCUCAACUCGAACCCUCGCCUUUGCCCUUGCCGAGCCCUCGCCGCCGCCACACCUCAGCCCCCUCGCCGCCACGGCAGCACCUCAGCCCGCUCGCCGCCGCGUUCGCGCGUCAGCCCGCUGGACAUCCCCACCUCCGUGGUCGCACCUCUACCCGCUCGCUGCCCCCAUUGCAACCCAACGCCCCCUCCAAUGGAUGCCGCCCGAACUACCUCAUCCAAUAGGACGCCGGCCGCGGCGUCACGAAGUUGCUGGCGUCGCCCAGUUCGCCGUGGGUGAAGGCGCCUCAGACGCAAGCGAAGCUGGAGCUUCCUCAACGUAUGCCUCACCAUGGGGCUCGCUGUGCUGCUGGCGGACAGCCGCGGCCCUGCUGGUGUGGUGCGAGACUUCCAGAUCACCCGACGGCUGGGGUUGGAGGAUGGCAUUCCCACAACUCCUCAUCGGGGGUGAGCGUGGCAUGGAGCAGCAAGCCCAUAGCUCCCUCAACCAUCAUGCUAAUCUCUUCUUGUUAUUGAUCCUGAAUCUAUGGUGCACAUACAGUACAUGCUUAUGUAUUGUCUCAAUGAUUAUCCUAUUUUUUUAGGAUUCAACUUGCGUUUUGUGCAAUUUCAUACACUCAAUCAAUAAAUUCUCAGUUUUUUGGCGGGAUUUGUGUUUGUUCGGAUGCUUAGGUGCAGCUGCAUCAAGGGAAUUGGCCGACGGCGUGCAAUACAUAGACAAAGUAAAAGUCAGUAUGGAGCAAAUACGAGUUCGGUUGCUCUUCUGACAAUUUCACUUUGAUUUUGUUGUUAGUGACUGAUUGAGGCGUCACUCCCACCACGGUGGUGACGGCAACCUUGCCCCUCCAGCCGCUGUGGCCGUAGCGUACCGCUCCAAUGCCAUCUGACACAACCGCCUUGUGGUGGAGGAGGGCCACCUCGAACACAUUGGGAAGGGGUGAGCGUGGGCUUCGCCACAUGUUCUGCCGAGUCAUCGAUGUCAGUUUCUAGGUUUGUGAGUGCAUUGUCUGGUGCUUCUUUUUACGAUGUCUGUCAACACAAGCACAACGUGUUCCAAGUAUGAACUGAGAGAGUGUGCUCCCAUUGGGUUCUGCAUGUGGACACUGUGGCCGGUGAGGCAUAACUGGAAGUUUCUCUGAUGGUCGACAACAAGGAUCACUGCACAACAGGCUUUCGAGCAGGCUCUGAUUCACGGAGAACUCCCCAGCAACCUCAUCUUUUGUGGAUAUUAGAUGGAUAUUGAAUCCAGUAAGCCUCCAAUUGAUAAACAAAGUCAAUUUUCUGUUGGUAGUUUGCAUGACAGGGUUCUAGCUAAUUUAUGAUUGUGCCUACAACAGACUACCUCUGCCUGAAGAUUUGAGGUGUGACUCAAAUUUCGUGCUGUUAGAAAUCAACAAUGGAGAUUUCAGUUUUUUUCAUGUAUAUUCGUACGGAUUUCAAGUUUAAUGAAUCAUUAAAUUUUAUUCUAUAAUCAGAUCUUGGCAUGUUUUCAGAUUUUUCAGAGAAGAAAGAAGUCCAGAGGCGUGGAUGUAUGUUUUUAGGGGGGAAUCAAGUCUGCAGAAUAUACACUAAUUUGAGGAAUUCAGAUGUUACCCAUGGUCAUACAGGGAAAGUGUGAAGCACUCUGGCCAAUUUUCCGCAUUUCUCAUCCAAGAAGCCGUUACAUUUAUGAUCUUUUCUAUAGAAGAAGGAAGGAUAUAUCUAAGGAGCUGUAUGAAUUUUGCCUGGACUAGGAUUAUGCAGACCGUAAUCUCAUUACAAAGUGGAAAAAUGUUGCCUCAGCUUUGUAUCAUUUGAGCUAGGGGCCAAGACGGAUGAGGUUGAUUUGGCUUGAUCAUGCCAAAGAAAUUUACUUCUUUUUUGGAAAAUGAAAGAAUGUUUUAGAAGUUCAGGGUUAAGUUACCAAAUCUGAGCUUUAUAGCAAAGCAGAUGAUCAAGAAAAGCAGAGUAGGAUAAUAAAGGUUCACAUAGAUGUAGUAAUAUGUUACUAUCAGCUAGCUCAAGUAUGUAUGACUGUAGGAGCUCAGGAAUACUCUUAUUGUGUCUUUGAUUUUGUUAAAGACCCAAUAUAUGAUGA